AUGUCUGGGAAACUGCCUGAUGGAGGGGGAGUAACUACUGGAAACGGUAGCUAAUACCGCAUAACGUCGCAAGACCAAAGAGGGGACCUUCGGGCCUCUUGCCAUCAGAUGUGCCCAGAUGGGAUUAGCUAGUAGGUGGGGUAACGGCUCACCUAGGCGACGAUCCCUAGCUGGUCUGAGAGGAUGACCAGCCACACUGGAACUGAGACACGGUCCAGACUCCUACGGGAGGCAGCAUG
RNAcentral lists this ribosomal RNA (239 nucleotides) under uncultured bacterium. Its description in RNAcentral is "partial 16S ribosomal RNA". It matches the Rfam family "Bacterial small subunit ribosomal RNA", at positions 113 to 353 of the family's 1533-position model. The record is from RNAcentral.